Molecule: ribosomal RNA, 253 nt
Filed under: uncultured bacterium
Lineage: Bacteria
Description: partial 16S ribosomal RNA
Rfam family: Bacterial small subunit ribosomal RNA
Source: RNAcentral
UACGGGGGGGGCAAGCGUUGUUCGGAAUUACUGGGCGUAAAGGGCUCGUAGGCGGCCAACUAAGUCCGACGUGAAAUCCCCAGGCUUAACCUGGGAACUGCGUCGGAUACUGGAUGGCUUGAAUCCGGGAGAGGGAUGCGGAAUUCCAGGUGUAGCGGUGAAAUGCGUAGAUAUCUGGAGGAACACCGGUGGCGAAGGCGGCAUCCUGGACCGGUAUUGACGCUGAGGCGCGAAAGCCAGGGGAGCAAACGGG